Molecule: long non-coding RNA, 1044 nt
Filed under: Vitis vinifera (wine grape)
Lineage: Eukaryota; Viridiplantae; Streptophyta; Magnoliopsida; Vitales; Vitaceae
Description: long non-coding RNA (VVIN_LNC001064)
Source: RNAcentral
CUCCACCUUCAGUGAAAAUUCCUUUUGUUUUCAUCUUGUGUGCUUUGUGAUAUUUUACUCUUCCAGAAAUCUUCAACCCAAGCUCUGAUACCAAUUGUUGUGCCAGCGGAAGCUUUGAUGCCAACGAUGUUAGUUCAAGAACACAAAGAUAAAAACAAUCACACAUACGGUACACGAGGUUUUAACGUGGUUCGGCCAACCAUGCCUACGUCCACGGAUGAGAGAGAAUAAUUCCACUACACAAUAGAGAAUAUUACAGAGGAUAGAACCAGAUACAACUAUUGGGUUCCCGAAACAUCCCAUGUUUCCCCACUCCUUGUAUCCAUACCUUACUACGAGCCUUCUCGCUCCACCAGGUACCUCCCGUUCUUCCUCACAUCUCUAUCCACCUCGUAUAGUCUCUAUAGGUCCAUCUCCAUCUCAUAACUUUUUCCCCUCAUGACCUAGAAUAUUUAUAGAGAUAUUUCCAACAACCUUCCUUAUUCUAUAAGGAAGUCUAAUAUUACAAUAAUAUAUCAACCUAGAAAUAUUCUAUAUAAUAUUCUUUACAAAGAAAGGAAUCUAUACUAAUUAGGAAUUUGGAACACUUCCUAACAAUCUCCACCUUGGACCAAAUUACAUGAAGUUAAUCUUCAAUCUCUCCAUGACACAAAUCUUUUUGUAUCAUAUCACCACGAAAUAGCAAUCAACUCCACCUUCAGUGAAAAUUCCUUUUGUUUUCAUCUUGUGUGCUUUGUGAUCUUUUACUCUUCCAGAAAUCUUCAACCCAAGCUCUGAUACCAAUUGUUGUGCCAGCGGAAGCUUUGAUGCCAACAAUGUUAGUUCAAGAACACAAAGAUAAAACAAUCACACAUACGGUACACGAGGUUUUAACGUGGUUCGGCCAACCAUGCCUACAUCCACGGAUGAGAGAGAAUAAUUCCACUAUACAAUAGAGACUAUUACAGAGGAUAGAACCAGAUACAAUUAUUGGGUUCUCGAAACAUCCCAUGUUUCCCCACUCCUUGUAUCCAUACCUUACUACGAGCCCUCUCGCUCCACCAG